This 1091-nucleotide unclassified non-coding RNA is filed under the name Hevea brasiliensis (rubber tree). Lineage: Eukaryota; Viridiplantae; Streptophyta; Magnoliopsida; Malpighiales; Euphorbiaceae. The record is from RNAcentral.
GAAGCAUACUAUGACACUUCAAAUUAACCCAAAAGUACAACAGAAAAAAUUACAGAACUUCCGAACAGCAAACAAUUUUCAACUUUCAGAGCUCCCUGGAAGAAGUUUCCGAGUCGAGCCGGUGGUACCGAAACGAGCUGCUGCAGCAGGAAUGAUCCGAGAGGGAGACAGUACCUCUGCAAUCGAAACAUUGAAUGAGUCCGUCCCUAAUCUGCUCUGUAGCCACCCUUUACCACCUGAGAAUCCAUCAGUCAUGAUCCAGCAGUUCUUAAAACCGAAACCCGUGAGAGCUUUUGCUACUAAUUUCGCUGUAUCAGAAUACGAGUCCAUUAUCACGAUGUUAGUAUUUUUGCCAACUUUUUUUAGAUAAGAAAUCUUCAAUGCGGCAAUUUCUGCUUCAGCUUUCUUCACAUUCCGAACAAGACCCUUCAGAUUGCCUGGGAGUUCCUCUAGAGGUACUGCGAACAUCUUGCUCUUAGCAAUGUUGGGGAGGCGAGGAACACCUGCCUUGUUCUUGUCCUUAAUCGACCUUACGUCGAUAAGUACAUAAUUUUGUGAACUUACCAAGUCAAGCGUUUGAGCAGGACUGAGAUUGCCUUUAUACCCCCGAAAGUUGAAAGAUACUGCCGACCAUAGUGGUGGUAGGAGAAGGUAUGCAAGAAACGCUGCUCCAGCAGACACAACAAGCACUGCAGGAUCCGAAGAUGCAAUUGUUUCAACAGUCGUGGAAGCAAGAGGCUUAGCCCCUUCUAUAACUUUUGUGGUCUGCUGUGCUACAUCUGCAACUGUCUUAGCUGCAGAGAUAACAGACCCUGUAUCAACCCCGGCACUCUGCAGAGCUUUAGUAGCCUGCUUGGAGGCAUCAGAAACCACUGGAGAAGCAAUCUUCAGAAUUUCCUCGCCUGCGCUCCGCAGGACCGGAAGCGCCGCAUCUACUGCUGGCUCCAAAGCAUCUGUCAAGAUCUUAAUAACUGACUGAGUGAAGUCCAAUGCCUUAGCACUGGCGUCCCCAACCUGAUUCACUGUAUCUUCCACCUUAGUGAGAGAAGAGACAACAUCUUCUUUGGGGAAGGAGAUGGCCUUGGCUUCGG